This 319-nucleotide long non-coding RNA is filed under the name Elaeis guineensis (African oil palm). RNAcentral's name for it is "long non-coding RNA (EGUI_LNC033504)". The record is from RNAcentral. Lineage: Eukaryota; Viridiplantae; Streptophyta; Magnoliopsida; Arecales; Arecaceae.
UGCCAUCAAACUUUCCAAAGUCUGCCUUAAAGGUACUUGACGCCAUUCCACAUAGAUUUCAAUUUCAACAUAAGAAAUGCUCACAAAUCUAUGUAAUUCUGGGUAAAAUAGGAUAGAUUACUCAAGAUCAAGAUAGAUCCUUACCCAAAUCAGGCAUCCAAGACCUUUCCUCCAUCAGAUCUAGCUCUAAAGAUCUGAUAUCAAUUGUUGUCAAGAUCAGAUCUUUUCUUGCUGACCAUAGAUCGUGGAAGUAGCAGCAAGGAUGGAAGAAAAAUCUUGAUGGCACAUCAGAUUAGGCCUAGAAGAAUCCUAGGCAUGC